RNAcentral lists this ribosomal RNA (403 nucleotides) under Bacteroidota bacterium. RNAcentral's name for it is "Bacteroidetes bacterium partial 16S ribosomal RNA". It matches the Rfam family "Bacterial small subunit ribosomal RNA", at positions 355 to 776 of the family's 1533-position model. Lineage: Bacteria; Pseudomonadati; Bacteroidota. The record is from RNAcentral.
UGGGGAAUAUUGCACAAUGGGGGAAACCCUGAUGCAGCGACGCCGCGUGAACGAAGAAGGUAUUCGUAUCGUAAAGUUCUGUCCUAUGGGAAGAUAAUGACAGUACCAUAGAAGAAAGCUCCGGCUAAAUACGUGCCAGCAGCCGCGGUAAUACGUAUGGAGCGAGCGUUGUCCGGAUUUAUUGGGCGUAAAGCGAGCGCAGGCGGUUAGAUAAGUCUGAAGUUAAAGGCAGUGGCUCAACCAUUGUAGGCUUUGGAAACUGUUUAACUUGAGUGCAGAAGGGGAGAGUGGAAUUCCAUGUGUAGCGGUGAAAUGCGUAGAUAUAUGGAGGAACACCGGUGGCGAAAGCGGCUCUCUGGUCUGUAACUGACGCUGAGGCUCGAAAGCGUGGGGAGCGAACAGG